RNAcentral lists this ribosomal RNA (460 nucleotides) under uncultured bacterium. RNAcentral's name for it is "partial 16S ribosomal RNA". It matches the Rfam family "Bacterial small subunit ribosomal RNA", at positions 338 to 795 of the family's 1533-position model. The record is from RNAcentral.
CCUACGGGAGGCAGCAGUGAGGAAUAUUGGUCAAUGGACGAGCGUCUGAACCAGCCAAGUAGCGUGAAGGAUGACUGCCCUAUGGGUUGUAAACCUCUUUUAUAAAGGAAUAAAACGAGGCACGUGUGCCUUUUUGCAUGUACUUUAUGAAUAAGGAUUGGCCAACUCCGUGCCAGCAGCCGCGGUAAUGCGGAGGAUCCGAGCGUUUUUCGGAUUUAUUGGGUUUUAAGGGAGGGUAAGUGGGUAGGUAAGUCAGUUGUGAAAGUUGGCGGGUCAACCGUAACAUUGCAGUUGAAACUGGCGGUCUUGAGUGGGGUAGAGGUGGGCGGAAUGCGUGGUGUAGCGGUGAAAUGCUUAGAUAUCACGAAGAACUCCGAUUGCGAAGGCAGCACACUGGAGUCCAACUGACGCUGAGGCUCGAAAGUGUGGGUAUCAAACAGGAUUAGAUACCCUAGUAGUC